CUUGGGGCUGCUAGCGCGGGAGAAGCCAGGUGGCCGCAGGGGACUGUCGGAGGGGGGUGGGGGGGGAAGAGCGCCACCACAGCUGCAGCCACCACUCCCUGUUCCUGCUCCUCCUCCCUGAAGCGCCCUUCACCCCGCCCUCUCCCCGCCCGGGACCGAGUCUGGUGGCCACAAAAUGGCGGAUGGGGAGCUGAACGUGGACAGCCUCAUCACCCGGCUGCUGGAAGUACGAGGAUGUCGUCCUGGGAAGAUCGUUCAGAUGACCGAAGCAGAAGUUCGGGGCUUGUGCAUAAAAUCACGGGAAAUAUUUCUUAGCCAGCCUAUUCUCCUGGAACUAGAGGCACCUCUGAAAAUCUGUGGUGAUAUUCAUGGUCAAUAUACAGACUUGCUUCGAUUGUUUGAAUAUGGAGGAUUCCCACCAGAAGCUAAUUAUCUUUUCCUUGGAGAUUAUGUAGACAGAGGCAAACAGUCUCUGGAAACAAUUUGCCUAUUACUGGCGUAUAAAAUCAAGUACCCAGAAAACUUCUUUCUCUUAAGAGGAAAUCACGAGUGUGCUAGCAUCAAUCGGAUCUACGGAUUCUAUGAUGAAUGCAAGCGGAGAUUUAACAUUAAGCUGUGGAAGACCUUCACAGACUGUUUUAACUGUCUGCCUAUUGCAGCUAUUGUGGAUGAGAAAAUUUUCUGUUGUCAUGGAGGACUGUCUCCAGAUCUCCAGUCAAUGGAGCAGAUCCGGAGAAUUAUGAGACCUACAGAUGUUCCUGACACAGGCUUGCUGUGUGACCUGCUGUGGUCUGACCCAGACAAAGAUGUGCAAGGUUGGGGUGAAAAUGAUCGUGGGGUCUCUUUCACUUUUGGUGCUGAUGUGGUCAGUAAAUUUCUGAAUCGUCAUGACCUGGAUUUGAUCUGUCGAGCUCACCAGGUGGUUGAAGAUGGAUAUGAAUUCUUUGCUAAACGGCAGUUGGUCACCCUAUUUUCAGCUCCAAAUUAUUGUGGAGAGUUUGACAAUGCAGGAGGCAUGAUGAGUGUGGAUGAAACUCUGAUGUGUUCAUUUCAGAUAUUGAAACCAUCUGAAAAGAAAGCCAAGUACCAGUAUGGCGGACUGAAUUCUGGACGUCCAGUCACUCCACCUCGCACAGCUAAUCCACCGAAGAAGAGGUGAAGAAAGGAAUAAUGUAGAAACACCAUCCGAUCUGUCAAGGACAAAACUCCAUAUUACAGUAUAUAAUAAGUGUGCACUGUAAAACCAUCCAGCCAUUUGACACCCUUUAUGAUGUCACACGUUUAACUUAAAGAGACGGGUAAAGGAUCUUUAUUAAUUUUUUUCUAGUAGAAGGAUGUGCGACACUGUAUUGUAACAAGUAUAGCUCCAAGUUCUAAUAUCCAGCAUAGAGUUAAAAAAAAGAUUAGGAAAAAACUAUUGCAACUACAUAUUCACAUUUACCACGGUUUUUAAAGUUGACCAACAUCCCAGUUAAAACUUGAUGUAAUAGUUAAACCAGAUGAGAGCAUGAUGUUCCAUUUGUGUAAUGUGGUCUUAUUGUUGCUUGAUUGCUUCUACUUUGGUUAUUUUGUAGCUAGAAUGAUGCAAAUAUGGUAUCUAGUCUUAUUUCCCGGCUCUCUCUUUGAAAUUGAAGUAAGAAAGGGGCUUUUUAGAACAGCCGUUGAUCUCUUAUCCUCCCCCUUAGCCCUCUGUUGUUCAUAAUAACACCGCCUCAAUGUGUGCCCAGUUAUAACGCAAACUUGAUAGUAUGGUAGUGAUUAAAUGGCAAACUAAGUCCAAAAAUGCCCAGACUGGACAGCUUGACAGCCAACAUAAAUUGAGACAGAAAAAAACUGUCUUGACUUUUUAACUUAUACUGCCACACAAUGGAUUUGUGCACUACACUGUUUUAAAUUAUUGACGUUACACUGUGCUAUGGCACUUCAUUUAACUUAGGACAAAAAUGGUAUUGCCUAUUAGUUGGUAACUCGAUUAUGUGGUACCUUGGCUUUAGUUUUAUUAGCAUGAAACACCUUUGGCAUGCUUAGCUUCCAGGUAACUCCUACCUGCAUCAAAAUUCAUCUUACAUAGUUCCACAGAACAUGAAGAUCCUUAUUUGCAAAGCCUUUGAAAGCUGACAUUCUUUUUCAUAAAGAGGGUAUGUUGAAAUAGAUGUUCGUCAAUGGACAAUAGGCUAACUGACGAGUGGUGAGCUGAAAAUGCAACGCUUUAGGAAUGUCCAACAUGAUUUUAUAAGGCUUAUGUCACUAAAGAGUCUACCUUUUGGAUUUUCAUGAUCAAAUUUCAUAUACUAUUGUAUAGACUUCUGCUUUGUAGUGUACUAUAGUAGCAAUAAUUUCUGUACAUGAUUAAGAGUUAUGCAGUAUUUCUUUUCCGCUCGUUUCUUAAGAGUUAACAUUGGCAAAUGGCAAGAUACACAAAAUAUACAGAGAAUAUACAAAAUUUAUCGUAGGAUAAAGGAAAAGGCACAGAUUUGUGAUGCUUUAGCAUCAACUUAGGAUGCAGUACUUAUUGGAUAUAACUACAAAAGCUUUUAUUGAACAUUUUCAAAUUUGUACUUUUCUUUGGGGGAAGGCUGCAGAUUUCUACCAUUCUAAAUGUGCAUCAGUAGAUGUAAAACUCUUGACUUCAGUAUUGUCUUUCAAAAUGUUAAAUUGAGGAUUCUAGUAACUUACGUUUUUUGAACUGGCACAUUUAUAUAAUGCAAGAGUUCUAUUGAUUUCUGACACAAUGGAUUUAAGUCUCUUUUCUAAUUCCAUUUUGGUUUAAAUGCAUAUUUUAAAUGUAGGUUUUUUCAUUUAGUAAAAGUUGUCUAAUUCAUUUGAAUGAAGUCUGACUGGUUAUUUUAACAUACCUUACUGUUACUCCAGAAGCAUGGAGUUUGUUGCCUUUUAAAAACAAAACAAAGUCACAGCAUAUGUAUCUGCUAUUGAUUUAUGUUGGAUUGGUCUGUGGUUUUGAACAAUGGUGUAAUUUACCCCACCUUGAAGCGAGCACCAGUUUCAGUACACAGAAUAAAAUGCAGAAGUAGAUUUCUUCUGAUACUCCUCAAAGACGCUGUUCUUGAAAAUCAUUGAUGAGAGCUGUAUGAGGGUAACUUCAGUUUGUGAUAAGGUAAUUGAAAUCUCUUUUGUAAGCCUCGACAGGGUAACUUCCUACUGUCAGUCAUUGCUUACUUGAGCUUUGGUUUUAAAAGUUUUGAAAGUGCUGGGUUUUGCAAAGUGCCAGCCUCUGUUAUAAGAAGCAUCGUGUUACCAAACAUCUGGAUUAACACUUUCCCACUUUUUUCCUUAGUUUCUGGAACAAUGUCUUCUGUAUCAUGAAAUGUCCAGGUGUAAAGCUGUAUGUUAUAAAGAGGAGAAAGAAAGACACCGAUGCAGAGUAGAAUGGCAUUCAAAUGGUGAACUUCUCAUGUAGUUUCACAGAAUUGGAACAAAGAUUUGUGUCUCAUCUUGGAGGAAUAUCUGCAGCUUUGUUUCCUGCAGAGAAAAUGCUAGUUUGAAUUCUUCUCACUCCAGAAGGAUAUAAAUCAUCACUAAGUCACGGGCUUUCUACUCUGAAUGCAAUAGGCUUCAGUCUGCCUUUCAGAUAAACCACAUCCCUGCAAGUGCACUGGCACUUGAAGAAGUGUCCUUGGAUAACCUGCACAGAAACUGAACCACCAGAGAGGGACUACUUCAGAAAAGUAAACGGAUGAAGGUACCAGAAGCAGAGCAGGGGAAACAUUUGUGGGAUAACUGAAACGAUUGGAGUUGGACAGGCUCUCCGUAAGGCUCUUCUGGAAUUUGAGUCUAGAAGGAUCAUGGUUUGGCUAGAGGCUAAUCUACCCAUUAAGACAAAGAUCAGCUUGAAGGCUGCAAUAUCCUUGGGUGGUAGAAAAAAACCAGAAACGGGACAGAGAGCCAAGAAGGGUCAGGUGUAGCUGAAAGAGCCCCCAGCAGUGACCCCAAUCAAAAGCUGAGGGAGGGAUUUUGGACACAGUGCUUUCAAACAAAAUACAUUUCCAAUUGCAAAGAAAACUCCUCACUUCUUGCUUGGCCUUGUUUUAAAAGUUCACAGAGAAAGGGCUUCGUGUGUUGUGUUAAUCAAGAGCACUGAUGUAAGGAAUUACCUGAUGCCAUCAGCAUUCUCAUCUCAGUGGAACCAACCCAAAAUAACUCUUACCACAAACUGAUUGGGGCUAUGUAACUGACAUGGAAUGAAAAUAAUAAUGGUCUGUAUCAGAAAAAGUUCUUACUUUAAAGACUUUGGUAACAAAUACAUGCAGGAGUUGAAGGCAGCCAAGAGUCGGAUAGGCUAUUUACUCUCCAAUCAAUUCCAUUUUAAAAGCUUACUUAAAGAACGCUAAUUUAAAAUAAGAUAUCCUUCUGAUCAUUUCUACAAUUAAGGGCAUGUAAAUUCACAUUCAUAAUGAAUGCUUUUUUUGAAUAUUUGAUUGCAGUAAUCCAAAUGAUCCUAUUUAAUAUCAAGGAUGGAGCCAGUACCUAUUUUUUGAUAACUGUUUUGCAUAGCAUGCUCCAUAUAGUUAAAAUUUUUGGAGAACUGUUUUAGAAGUCACGACCUUUUGGUAGCACAGUCCUGGUAGCUGGAACUGGCACCUCUUGUAGACAGGAUGCUGGAAGACCACAGAGCUAAAAGACACAAAUUUCAGGUUCUUUGUGUUUUGUCCUAAUAAUUUUUUACUGCAUUUUUCUAACUGCAAGCAUCGCCUGUUUGGAUGUCAAAGAAUAAGAUGUGCUCAUUUUACCUGCCUCCUCUUUUUAGCUUUCACCUUCUCCUGUUGACAGAGCUGGCAGGUCUUACUCCAAUUCUCAGUCUUUCUGUCCAGUUCUACUUUUUCCAGCCUGAAAACAACCUUCUUCAGCCUUGCAAGGUACACUCAAUUGUCUUACCAUCCUCAAGGUGACAAAUUCAAAGCCUCACCAUCUUUAGAAAAUGAAGUCUUUACUUCUCAGAAUCAUACAUGUGAAAAUCCUGGGGGGGGAAAAAAAAAAGGAAUUUUGGAGGGCUUUUGACCAAUGCAAUUUGGAGUGACAAAAAUCCUUAGAACCACUUAGAUUUUCUAUGGUAAUUAUACACACUGAGAGUUAAUGAGAAUGUGUAAGAAAUGCUGUUUGUUUCUAUCUGUAAUGUGAAUAAUCAUCAUCAACUUUGCAGAACACAGAAGACAAAAAGCAGAUGUUGGAGAUAGGCUGGUGAUAAUGGGCUGUUCAUAACAGAGUAUUUUAAUGUGUUCCACGGGGUAAUAUGCAAAUAUUUCAGUUGAGCAGAGCUUUAGGUCAUAUAUUGUUUUCUUACAAUUUGUAACAAGAUUAAGAAUCAUAUUUGCAGAAAAGCAGCAGAGUUGAGUGUAGUGCAGAUGAGAAGCAACACUGUUCCCUGUGAAGUCUUCAGGCAUCCUGAGCUGAAAAUUACAGCUAGCCAGGUGUCACGUGGAAUUACAGGAAGACGGUGUACCUGCUAUCCACUAGCCAGGUGUCACAUGGAAUUAUAGGGAGACAGUGGACCUGCUAUCCACAACAGUGCUUUAUCAUAAUUAUUAUUAUCCAGACGCUGUGCUGCCUGCAGUUUGUAGAUACUGAAAGAAUUUUAAGAGGGACAUAGCCAGAAUUUCUCAGUGUUGGAUGUGAAGCCAAACAUUUCACCUCUUAACAGAGACUUGCUUCAUGGCUUCAAGACAAAAUAUCUGCUCUCCUUCCAUUCCCUCUGUAAAUGAGGCCUAGGAUUUGUGUCUCAUGGAAUGUUGUGAGAUUAAUCUUUUUCUGUAUGCAUAAACUGUUUUGAAAGUGGAAAGGUCCAAGUCUUAUUUUACAACAGCCUUGCAAUUACAGCACAAAUGGAGCAGGCCCCAUCUCUCCUAAGAAAGGGACAAACAGCUCAGAACUCAGCAACUACUCUAGCCAGCUAGAACAAAUACAAUUUUGCAGUCCAUUGAUUUCCGUUUACAACAUCAAGUUUUAUUUGAUUUAUAUUUUUUUAUCUAUGUGCCACAACAACAACAACAACAACAACAACAACAACAGUGGGUUUUUUUAACCUUUUUUAAUGAAGUGUCACUAGCACGUGGUUCCUGUUAGCCUGGGGAUAUUUUGGAUAAGCUAAGACAAAGGACCAGCAGGCAAACAAAACAGGGCCAUUUAGGACAGUGUUGAUGCUGCCUAAAAUGGUUUUCUCCUUGGGAUUUCUGAGCUUAUUGGACUACUAUAUAGCUGCAUGGACUAUGUAAAGGCAUCUCACACAUAUGUAGUUAAGGCCAGAGUGUAACAUCCUAGGUGUUGUUUAACGACUUUUAACAAAUAAUAGUAGCAAAUGCAUGAAUGUUGCUUGGGAAAAAUUCUGUCCUCUAGUGUGACUCCCCCUGCACUCCCCUAAGCACUAUGUGGUGCCUGGCACAGUACUGCAAGGCAUCAAGUUAGAAUCCUCCUGGUGUUGAAAGGCUGAUGCUGGGAGUGGAUCCUGGCGUCAAGCCCUCUCCGUAGAGCCUGGCUUUGGGCUGUUUCCCCAGCUGGACAUGCACCUUUCACUCUUCCCUGUGCCUGGUGUAUGGGCCACUGUCACUGACUGUGACCAUGACCAAAUCAGGCCAUGAGUGGAGGAGUCUGCAGCACAUUGGUACAGGUGCCAUAAUGUUGCCUGGAGAAAGUGGGGAUGUCUGGGGAGGAAGGGAGGAGGGAGAGAGAGGGAGUAGCUACUGUUGAGAGGAGGCAUGCAAUAGUGCCCUCUAAGCUGCUGGAAGAAGUCAAGUUGCCGCUGAGUACCUAGGUGUUGCAGGGAGAAUGUGACCUAUCCGUGAAUAAAUAAGGGAAAACUUGCAUUGUCAUUGUUCUCACUGACUGGUGCUUAUGGGAAAAUGGAAGAUCAGGCUGUCAGGCUGUCAGCUUCUAUGAGCCCUAACUUCCUCCUUAGAGGGAGAUGGCUACUUUCCCAACAAUGGCCUCAGCUCUUUCGGUUACAGCCAGUCAAGUCCAAUGACAUCAAAUAUUAAUCUGGCACAGAAGUUGGGCUGUCCAAGUACAUUUUAUAACCAACAGCAUAUCAAAUCCUUUGGACCUGAUGACAAUUGCUCCUUUGUUGUCACAUCAGUCAGUCACUUUAACCCAGAUUUUCAGUCAAUUCAAAGGAAAGAAAACACUGCUUCAGAGAACUGACUACUGCAAAAGUACUUUAAAAAGAAAAAAAAAAGAACAGAAGGAAGGUAGGGCUUAAACUCAUCACAAAAGAUCUCACCAUAAAAUCAGGAGAAUGCACAAGGAGCCUUAGAUGACCUCGCAGCAAGAGGCUGUGCUGAUGUUUUGGGUAUAGCCUCUCUGCAGGGGCAGACUUCUGACCAUCUCAAAACUAGUCUUUGGGCUCACAGUUAGUUCAGAGCCUCAGGCCUGACCUGUUUGUGUAACAGCAUUUAUAUUACUUUUAUAACAGAAUUUCUGUCCAUAUAACAGAAAUUGCUAGCACUUUGAAAGCAGACAAACUUCAGAAAUCCAGUUUCCCAGGUGGAGCUUGAAAAGACAGGACCAAGACAGUGCACCCUUUCAGUAGUUACCUGACUAGAGUCCCCUGUAAUCUGGCAGGCAGAUGCCACCUUCAGAGGGACUCUGUGUCAGGCAGCUCCUGCCUACAUUUUUUCUAGCAUCCAGAACUGGCACAGUGCUUUGAUCCACCUCUGAUUUUGUCUGUAGAAUGUACAAGGGAAAAACAACUCUUGAGACAGCAGAAGGCUGAACAUGCAACCCUUGCACAUUAACAAAACCACGCCAAUUAGCUGGGGGGGAAUAUGACAAAAAUGAGGAGAAUUUUGCUCUUCUCUGCACAAGACUAGAGACAGUAUGAGAAAAUUACAACUUGACCUUAAAUUGGUCAAAGGAAACAAAGAAAUAAAAUAUAGGCUAAAGAAGAAUUCUUCCUCAUAACUUGAACCAAAGGCCAAAGCACUUUAACACAUGAGGACUGGAAGAUUCAGAGAAAUAUCUGGAAAAAAAUUGCACACCUAUAGUCAUGGAGGAAAAUGUAGGAACUUGCUUAAUUUAGUAAUAUACCUGGCGUGACUCAAGAAAGCUGGAGUUUCUACACUGUAUUGGCACCACUCCUGACCUCAUUGUGUGCAGAACAGAUGGCUCAAGGAACAGGCAUUACUGUUAUUUAAGAGGAAAAGCAAGGCAUCUGAACAGGAAUGAAGGCACCAACACCUGAUAUCCCCUUUGCCAGGUAAGCCGAUAGCAUGAAUGGGAUGUUCACUCAGUCACAAGGCAUUAAAUAUUUCUGCUCUGACUUACGCCAGCUAUGAGCUAUUGUCAGAAGAACCAUUAGCUGCUUACAUCAAGACAUUAAGCCAAAUGCAGGCUCCAGUGAGGUCAGUCAUAACACUCAAAUUGAUUUCAACAGCAAUAGAAAUUAGCCACUAGUGGUCAAGAGGGAGGAGUUAGAUGGCAGUCUGCUAUCACCUCACAGGGUAAGCUUGAGUUAAAUUCACUCAAGUUUUGGGACAUACUGAAAUUCUGUGUGUGAGUGUGCAUACAACACUGAAGCAUGGCACUAGGAGAUCCGGUUGGGAGCUACUGAAAGUGGUGUCCAAAGUUUCCUGCAAAUACAGAUGACUAUUUUAGGAACUGAUGGACAUCCUGGCUCCCAGCUGUGUAUGACUGACGGUAUCUUCUCUAUCUCAUAUCACUUAGCGCUGAUAUUCUGUUCAUUUAAUUACUCAACCAGACAGAAGUAUUAAAUGAUGUUUCAGAACUCUUUAUUAUGGUAUAUGCUUUCCAGUAAUUCUCUCCCUCAUUCUCUGACAGUAGUGAGGGAAAAACCCCUCCUGCCUGUAAGAGUACUCACCUCUUAGAAAUAGAUCUUGUUCUUUAUCCCUUUUGGUUUUGUUUCCAGUUGCAUUUAGAUGUGCAAAUCUCUGUGGAUGCUCCUCAAUGUACAUUUACAUUUUCCCUUGCUUUUAAGGAAAUGCACACAGAUUGUACUUUUUAAAUGUCUUAUUUGCUUUCUAUUUCUCUGUAUUUUCCUAUCAUGACCACUUUUAAAAGGCAUUCUUUUCAGACACAAAGGAAUUAAGUUGCAUUUUGUCCUAUCCUGGACCUAAAUUUUAACAUUCGGCGUUAGUCUGAACCGUUUCCUCUUAGAUCGCACAAGCAAAUCUACAGUUCAGUGUCACGUCUGCUCUCCUGUGGUAAUUAAAGUCUUAAGUUUAUCAUCAUCACUAACAGCAAAUACUGUAUCCAUUUUUAGAGAAUGAUCCAAACUGCUUGUAUUUCCUGAUCUUUCUUCUCAUUCCUUUGUUAUUAUAUGCUUUCUGCCUCUUAAUUGUUUCCAUAUGAAAUGGCCUCAGUCAAAGCCGUUGCAAUGAACAGCGUCCAUUUCAAACUGUCAGCAUUUUGGUCCCAGCAGAUAACCAUGAGCUGGUUACUCCCUGCAUACAGUAGCACUCCAUAAGGACAAGUAAUAAGUUCUGCAGUCUCGUUAACCGAAAAACAGUCAAGAUCUAACACCGCAGCCAAAAGGCAGCUUAGUAAAUGUAAUUUCUGUCCUUUUAGCCAAUAACCUUGAUCCCGUUUUUUUAAUUUCUGCACAGCUAUAAAAUUUGUCUUUCCUUUCAGUAUAGAUGAAUAGUUAGGAACUAACUUAGCUUCUCGCCUAUGGAUGGUGUUUAAAAUGUCCUUUGUCAAUUAACUCAGGGAGUCCCUUUUAUAUUUUCAGUACUGAGGCUGCUUUAUUGAAGUAUAAACACAGGCCUCUUCCUCAAGCCACAAAGCUCUGCUGGUUCUGCUGCAUUUCCACAGCUCGGUAUAGGGCUGGAUGCACUUAACUGAGAGGUGUGAAGGAGUAUCCUGGAAGAGACAGAAUCUAAAUAUAUUCUGCUACAAGAUUUCUCUCGUUCCUCUCUCCACCCCCAGAUCCCAGAGACUACAAUGGCUUAUGCAGGGUUAUACAGAUGAAGCUAACGAUGAAGGGAGGAGAUUUCCUACAGAUAAAGACUUUUAGCCCAGUACCAGCACAGCAUACAGCCUGAAACAGUGCUGGGGUGGGUUUUGAGGGAAAGCACUCCCAACCAUUGCUUCCAAAGAGAGGACCUACACAAUUGUUUCCAGGAAAGGAUCCCUGGCUAUAAGGAGAUCCUUCCCUACAGCUUUGACAUAGGCACUUGGACAAGGUGGAGUAGGGGAUGAGAGUUAUCCAGACCCGUUGCACUUAGUGUUUCCUUUUGCUUAUUCCUUUCCUAGUUUAUUUUGUUUCAAACUACCCUUUGACAUCCAACUAUCUGUAUGCAUCAUAUGGCUUGCAAGUCUACAGUGCCAUGGCUAGUCCUCCUGAGGCCAGGUGCCUGGCAACUUACUUCCCAUAUCUUACAAAGGCAUCGCCUUAUUCAAGGAGGCCAACUCCAUAAAAGCACAAAAGAGCAAACAAGAGUUUAGUCUCAUUUGCCCCUGAUCUUAUGCUUAUGUAAUCCCACUAAUUUCAUUUGCAUGAGAACAGAAACAAUCUCUUGGUAGAAAUGGCUUUGCAGGGCUGUUAUCCAAACCAGAAGGCUGAGCAAGAGUCUACUUCACAUGCAAAACCACCACAGUAUAAAUGACCUGCAAAGAGGUUAUUUUGAUUCCCACUGUACAUUUUUAUGCAUGCUUUGAUAUGUUGUAUGUAGUGGGAUGGGGGCAGGGGAGAUGAACAGCCCUCCCCAUUCCCCAUGUGAAAGUUGUCUGCCUGAUUAUUUUUUUUUUCUCCAGGUACACAGAAGGAAAUGAAACCAUUAGAAGGGAUACCUCAGAACUGUAAACUCCAAAGGGAGGAAAUUACUAUUGCUUCAACAGGUUUGCCCAGUCAAUAUUGUCAUUUAAGCAACCAAAGGGUCUCUUCUAAAGGAUUGGAAAAAAUGUGCUCGUAAAACUGCAAAUACCUAUUUCCCAAAAUAACUAAAACUGCUAUGGUUUCAGGGACAGAAGUGAUGCGUUUGAAAUGGGACUAAAUGUUUAUUUACAUGAGAGAGCAUGCUAGCUCUGGUCUACUGAGAAAAUAAUGGGCAUUAAAACCUAUACAGCAUAUGGCCUACUGAAUAAAAAGUAGAUUAUACUUAAAAGA
Colius striatus (speckled mousebird) is the source of this 11071-nucleotide RNA transcript. It is a transcript of the gene named protein phosphatase 1 catalytic subunit beta, with no coding region annotated. The transcript is spliced from 14 exons. Lineage: Eukaryota; Metazoa; Chordata; Aves; Coliiformes; Coliidae. The record is from RefSeq and is a predicted model, not a curated record.